This 88-nucleotide small nucleolar RNA is filed under the name Ochotona princeps (American pika). RNAcentral's name for it is "Small nucleolar RNA SNORA74 (ENSOPRG00000022964.1)". Lineage: Eukaryota; Metazoa; Chordata; Mammalia; Lagomorpha; Ochotonidae. The record is from RNAcentral.
CCCGGCCGUAGGCAACUGCCUAGGUUGCCUUGUAUCUAGGCAAGUGUUACACUGCUGGGAGAAAAGCAGCCAAUACCUGGUGGGCAUU